This is an RNA transcript of Nycticebus coucang (slow loris), 2224 nucleotides long. It is a transcript of the gene named 26S proteasome non-ATPase regulatory subunit 11-like, with no coding region annotated. Lineage: Eukaryota; Metazoa; Chordata; Mammalia; Primates; Lorisidae. The transcript has 2 exons. The record is from RefSeq and is a predicted model, not a curated record.
UGUGAGAGCGGUAAGAUGGCGGGGGUGAUGGUGGUGGAGUUCCAGAGAGCCCAGUCUCUACUCAGCACUGACUGGGAGGCCUCCAUCGACAUCCUCCACUCCAUCGAAUUUUAAGAGGAUUUGCAUUUUCCUCUCCCAGUGAAGCAUGACAUUCAAGAAAAUGAUGAGGAGGCAGUGCAGGUCAAAUAGCAGAGCAUCCUGGAACUGGGAUCUCUUCUGGCAAAGACUGGACAAGCUGCAGAGCUUGGAGGACUCCUGAAGUAUGUACGACCCUUCUUGAAUUCCAUCAGCAAGGCUAAAGCAGCCAGUCUGGUCCGAUCUCUUCUUGAUCUGUUUCUUGAUACGGAAGCAGCUACAGGGCAGGAGGUUGAGCUGUGUUUACAGUGCAUUGAAUGGGCCAAAUCAGAGAAAAGGACUUUCUUAUGCCAAGCUUUGGAGGUUCUCAGCUGUUGCGGGAGUUGAAAAAGAUGGAUGACAAAGCCCUUUUGGUAGAAGUACAGCUUUUAUUUCUUUUAGAAAGCAAAACAUACCACGCCCUGAGCAACUUGUCGAAAGCCCAAGCUGCCUUAACCUCUGCUCGAACCACAGCAAAUGCCAUCUACUGCCCCCCUAAAUUGCAGGCCACCUUGGACAUGCAGUCAGGUAUUAUCCAUGCAGCAGAGGAAAAGGACUGGAAAACUGCGUACUCAUACUUCUAUGAGGCAUUUGAAGGUUAUGACUCCAUUGAUAGCCCCAAGGCCAUUACAUCUCUGAAGUACAUGUUGCUGUUCAAAAUCAUGCUCAACACCCCAGAACAUGUCCAGGCUUUGGUGAGCGGGAAGCUUGCACUUCGGUAUGCAGGGAGGCAGACAGAAGCAUUAAAAUGCGUGGCUCAGGCUAGCAAGAACAGAUCACUGGCAGAUUUUGAAAAGGCCCUGACAGAAUACUGGGCAGAGCUCCAGGAUGACCCAAUUAUCAGCACACACUUGGCCAAGUUGUAUGAUAACUUACUGGAACAGAAUCUGAUUCGAGUCAUUGAGUCUUUUUCCCGAGUACAGAUUGCACACAUAUCUAGUCUCAUCAAACUCUCGAAGGGCGAUGUGGAAAGGAAAUUAUCACAGAUGAUCCUUGACAAGAAAUUUCAUGGGAUUUUGGACCAGGGGGAGGGUGUCCUGAUUAUUUUCGAUGAACCCCCAGUAGAUAAAACUUAUGAAGCUGCUCUGGAAACAAUUCAGAACAUGAGCAAAGUAGUGGAUUCCCUCUACAACAAAGCCAAGAAACUGACAAAGAGUUGGAUCUGUAGCGGUCCUUUGGAGAGUGUGUGUGGCGGGAGAGUGAAACCUUGGGGGAAAUGCUAGGAGAUUCUUUUUUUCUUUUUGUUCUACUUUUCGCUCAGAACGUUUUUAAAUCCUCAUUUGGUGCAUCUGUAUUCCAGCCAAUAGGUGUGCCAGUUUUCAUGUAAUCUAUACUGGCCCAACUUGGGAGUGGGGAAAUUGCUUAAAAAAAAAAAAAAAAAAAAGAUUAUUCUAAAUAAAAGGAAAAAGGCUUACACUAAAAAAAAAAAAAGACUGAAACUGGACCCAUACGUUUCCCACUCACAAAAAUUGAUUCAAGAUGGAUAAAGGACUUAAAUUUAAGGCAUGAAACAAUAAAAAUCCUCAAAGAAAGCAUAGGAAAAACACUGGAAGAUAUUGGCCUGGGGAAGGACUUCAUGAAGAAGACUGCCAUGGCAAUUGCAACAACAACAAAAAUAAACAAAUGGGACUUCAUUAAACUGAAAAGCUUCUGUACAGCUAAGGAGACAAUAACCAAAGCAAAGAGACAGCCUACACAAUGGGAAAGGAUAUUUGCAUAUUUUCAAUCAGACAAAAGCUUGAUAACUAGGAUCUAUAGAGAACUCAAUCCACAUGAAAAAAGCCAACAAUCCCAUAUAUCAAUGGGCAAGAGACAUGAAUAGAACUUUCUCUAAAGAUGACAGACGAAUGGCUAACAAACACAUGAAAAAAUGUUCAUCAUCUCUGUAUAUUAGAGAAAUGCAAAUCAGAACAACCCUGAGAUAUCAUCUAACCCCAGUGAGAAUGGCCCACAUCACAAAAUCUCAAAACUACAGAUGCUGGCGUGGAUGUGGAGAGAAGGGAACACUUUCACACUGCUGGUGGGACUGCAAACUACAACCUUUCUGGAAGGAAGUAUGGAGAAACUUCAGAGCACUCAAGCUAGACCUCCCAUUUGAUCCUGCAGUCCC